RNAcentral lists this long non-coding RNA (3445 nucleotides) under Vitis vinifera (wine grape). RNAcentral's name for it is "long non-coding RNA (VVIN_LNC007530)". Lineage: Eukaryota; Viridiplantae; Streptophyta; Magnoliopsida; Vitales; Vitaceae. The record is from RNAcentral.
AGCUCGCGGGGUGACUAUGCACAUUGGCUCGUGGGAAGGAAGGGUCGACUUCACAGUGGCACCCAUGGACGACUUCAAGAUGGUGCUAGGAAUGGAUUUCCUACAGAAGGUCAAGGCCGUGCCACUACCUUUCCUACGCUCAAUGGCCAUCCUAGAGGAGGAGAAGCCGUGCAUGGUCCCUACGGUCACUGAAGGUACGCUCAAGACCCCUAUGCUAUCUGCUAUGCAAGUAAAGAAGGGGUUAAAGAGGGAAGAGGUGACCUACCUCGCCACCUUAAAGGAAGAGAAGGAUGAUGGGUCGGGAGAACCCAUUCCUAAGGAAAUCGAGGGGGUCCUUGAUGAGUUCAAGGACGUGAUGCCGCCCGAGUUGCCUAAGAGACUUCCUCCUAGGAGAGAGGAAGAUCACAAGAUUGAGUUGGAGCCAGGAGCCAAGCCCCCUGCUAUGGGGCCAUAUAGGAUGGCACCACCUGAGUUGGAGGAGCUAAGGAGACAACUCAAGGAGUUGCUAGAUGCGGGGUUCAUCCAACCAUCCAAGGCUCCCUAUGGCGCGCCGGUUCUAUUUCAAAAGAAGCAUGAUGGGUCUUUACGAAUGUGCAUAGACUACCGGGCACUCAACAAGGUGACGGUGAAGAACAAGUAUCCCAUCCCGCUCAUUGCUGACUUGUUCGAUCAACUUGGAAGGGCCAGGUACUUCACGAAGCUGGACUUAAGGUCGGGCUACUACCAAGUCAGGAUUGCGGAGGGAGAUGAGCCGAAGACUACAUGUGUGACCAGGUAUGGCUCAUAUGAGUUCUUAGUGAUGCCUUUCGGACUCACCAAUGCCCCAGCAACGUUCUGCACCCUCAUGAACAAGAUCUUCCACCCAUACUUGGACAAGUUCGUGGUGGUGUACUUGGAUGACAUAGUCAUCUAUAGUAACACUCUAAAGGAGCACAAAGAGCACUUGAGGAAGGUCUUUAAGAUCUUAAGGCAGAACGAGCUAUACGUGAAAAAGGAGAAGUGUUCGUUUGCUAAGGAGGAAGUGAGCUUCCUUGGGCAUCGCAUCAGAGAUGGCAAGCUGAUGAUGGAUAAUAGCAAGGUGAAGGCCAUCCAAGAAUGGGAUCCACCAACCAAGGUACCUCAACUCAGGUCUUUCCUUGGUCUAGUUAAUUAUUACCGGCGGUUCAUAAAGGGUUACUCGGCAAGGGCUGCCCCACUCACUGAUCUUCUUAAGAAGAAUAAGGCAUGGGAAUGGGAUGGAAGGUGCCAACAAGCCUUUGAGGAUCUAAAGAAGGCUGUGACUGAGGAGCCAGUGUUGGUACUACCCGACCACACCAAGGUCUUUGAGGUACACACAGAUGCCUCAGACUUCGCUAUUGGGGGAGUCCUUAUGCAAGAGAGGCACCCAAUCGCAUUUGAGAGUCGCAAGCUAAACGACGCGGAGAGGCGUUACACGGUGCAAGAAAAAGAGAUGACUGCUAUCGUCCACUGCUUGCGCACCUGGAGGCACUAUCUACUAGGGUCUCAUUUCAUAGUGAAGACCGACAAUGUGGCCACUAGCUACUUCCAGACACAGAAGAAGCUGAGUCCUAAACAAGCUAGGUGGCAAGACUUCUUGGCCGAGUUCGACUAUACGCUGGAGUAUAAGCCAGGAAGUGCUAACCAUGUGGCCGACGCCCUAAGUCGCAAAGCCGAGCUAGCGUCCAUGACGAGUCAGCCCCAAGGAGAUAUAGUGAGUCUUCUAAGGGAGGGACUGCAACAUGAUCCAGUGGCUAAGAGCCUUAUCGCCCUGGCUCAUGAAGGAAAAACUAAGCGGUUUUGGGUGGAGGACGGCCUACUCUAUACAAAGGGGAGACGACUCUAUGUGCCUAAGUGGGGGAACAUAAGGAGGAACCUGAUUAAAGAGUGCCACGACACCAAGUGGGCGGGGCACCCUGGGCAACGACGCACUAGGGCACUACUCGAGUCGGCUUACUAUUGGCCUCAGAUACGGGACGAGGUUGAGGCCUAUGUGAGGACUUGUCUUGUGUGCCAACAAGACAAGGUGGAACAGCGACAACCUAGAGGCCUGUUAGAACCACUACCGGUAGCAGAACGCCCAUGGGACAGCGUCACCAUGGACUUCAUCAUCGGGUUACCUAAGUCAGAGGACAGCGGCUCUAUCAUAGUGGUGGUGGACAGGUUCUCUAAGUAUGCAACCUUCAUAGCAGCCCCGACUGACUGCACGGCGGAAGAGACGGCGAGGCUAUUCCUAAAGCACGUAGUCAAGUAUUGGGGGUUGCCUAAGUUCAUCAUCAGUGAUCGCGACCCACGCUUCACUGGGAAGUUUUGGACGGAGCUCUUCAAGCUUAUGGGUUCGGAGCUUCACUUCUCCACCAGCUUUCACCCACAGACAGAUGGGCAGACUGAAAGGGUGAACGCCUUGCUGGAGCUAUACUUGAGGCACUUUGUGAGUGCCAACCAGAGGGAUUGGGCUAAGUUGCUAGAUAUAGCCCAGUUCUCAUACAACUUACAAAAGAGUGAGGCGACCAACAAGAGCCCGUUCGAGUUAGCCACAGGGCAGCAACCCUUAACCCCUCACACGCUAACGAUAGGCUACACGGGGAGAAGUCCAGCGGCUUUCAAGUUCGCGAAGGGGUGGCAUGAGCAAGCUGACAUAGCCCGCUCAUACUUAGACAAGGCCGCUAAGAAAAUGAAGAAGUGGGCUGACAAGAAGCGACGACACAUAGAGUACAAGGUCGGAGACAUGGUGCUUGUCAAGCUCCUUCCUCAACAAUUCAAGUCUCUAAGGCCGGUGCAUAAGGGCCUUGUGAGGAGGUAUGAAGGACCCUUCCCCAUACUUGGGAAGGUUGGCAAGGUGUCCUAUAAAGUCGAGCUGCCCCCGAGGUUGAAGAUCCAUCCUGUCUUCCACGCAAGCUACUUGAAGCCCUAUCACGGAGACAAGGAUAAUCCAAGCCGAGGGUUGUCCAAGAGGGCACCUACAGCGGUCGUGACCUCCUAUGAUAAGGAGGUAGAACUCAUCCUCGCAGACCGGGUCAUCAGGAGACGAGGGGUACCUCCUGCUACGGAAUACUUAGUGAAAUGGAAAGGACUACCAGAAAGUGAGGCUAGCUGGGAGCCAGCAGAGGCACUAUGGCAGUUCCAGGAACAGAUCGAGCGGUUCCGGGCAGAAGGCGCGACGAGGACGUCUGCGGCAUAGGUGGGGGAGAGUGUCACAAGCUGACCCAAAUGAGCCUCCCCAUGGCCUUAUAUAGGGCCAGGAAGCUUCUGGAGACUCCUAGAAUGGGAAGAGUGUGGAAGGUUCUAGAGAAGUCUGGAGAAGUCCACACAAUUCUACACUAUGGUGGAAGGCACAAGAGGAGUCCGGGGCUUUCUAGAGAAGUCUAGAAGACUCUUGUAUAUACUUAUAUAGGCUUGUAACUAGAAUGAUGUAGGACAUUCUAGAAUAGUCUUGAGAUGUAAGGAA